UGAGGAAUUUUGCGCAAUGGGAGCAAUCCUGACGCAGCAACGCCGCGUGGGUGAAGAAGGCCUUCGGGUUGUAAAGCACUUUUUGAGAGGAUGAGGAAGGACGGUACUCUCAGAAUAAGUCUCGGCUAACUACGUGCCAGCAGCCGCGGUAAUACGUGGGGGGCAAGCGUUGUCCGGAUUUACUGGGUGUAAAGGGUGCUCAGGCGGAUUUGUAAGUCAGAGGUGAAAUCUCACAGCUUAACUGUGAAACUGCCUUUGAUACUGCAAGUCUAGAGUAUGGAAGAGAGUGAUGGAAUGUCUGGUGUAGCAGUGAAAUGCGUAGAUAUCAGAUAGAACACCAAUGGCGAAGGCAGUCACUUGGUCCAUUACUGACGCUAAAGCACGAAAGCGUGGGUAGCAAACA
Molecule: ribosomal RNA, 403 nt
Filed under: uncultured prokaryote
Description: bacterial SSU rRNA
Rfam family: Bacterial small subunit ribosomal RNA
Source: RNAcentral